Molecule: ribosomal RNA, 497 nt
Filed under: uncultured bacterium
Lineage: Bacteria
Description: partial 16S ribosomal RNA
Rfam family: Bacterial small subunit ribosomal RNA
Source: RNAcentral
GAUGAACGCUGGCGGCGUGCCUAAUACAGGCAAGUCGAGCGAACAGACGAGGAGCUUGGUCCUCUGAUGUUAGCGGCGGACGGGUGAGUAACACGUGGAUAAAUUACCUAUAAGACUGGGAUAACUUCGGGAAACCGGAGCUAAUACCGGAUAAUAUAUUGAACCGCAUGGUUCAAUAGUUAAAGACGGUUUUGCUGUCACUUAUAGAUGGAUCCUCGCCGCAUUAGCUAGUUGGUAAGGUAACGGCUUAGCAAGGUAGCGAUGCGUAGCCGACCUGAGAGGGUGAUCGGCCACACUGGAACUGAGACACGGUCCAGACUCCUACGGGAGGCAGCAGUAGGGAAUCUUCCGCAAUGGGCGAAAGCCUGACGGAGCAACGCCGCGUGAGUGAUGAAGGUCUUCGGAUCGUAAAACUCUGUUAUUACGGAAGAACAAAUGUGUAAGUAACUAUGCACGUCUUGACGGUACCUAAUCAGAAAGCCCCGGCUAACUACGUU